AUGCGUUCAAUGCGUGCCCAUACACCAGCCAUGUUGAGAUCGUCGCCGCGGCUUAUUACACACAACACUCACGCCCUAAGCCGCGACUCAGAGCAGGCCGCCGCCCUCGACGUCGCCGUCGACCAGCAGCGCACGCUCCCUUGCCGGCUCCUUGCGCAGCUGAGGGCAAUCGCGUUUGAAGUGGCUGCGCUCGUCGCACUUGUAGCAGCAGCCACGCCGGUUGCCGCCGAAGCCCGACGCCUAGCUCCGCACGCCGUCGUCGUCCCUCGCGCCGCCCUGCUGCCUAUCCCGAGCUCGCCAUUACGCCGCCGUGUACAUGAAUGCGCUGUUCACCCGCUCGUCGCCCGCCUCCCCUCGCCGCCGCAACCGCUUGUCGAACGCCUUCAGCCUCCUGAGCGGUUCCUUGAACGGCAUCAUCGUGACAUCGCAGAACUGCUCAGUCCCGGCCACGGCCGCGUACAGGCGAUCCGGCACCGAAUCAAGCAGUUUCUUCACGAGCGCGGCGUCCUCCAGCGUCGAGCCCUGCCCCGCGAACCACGCCGUCAUCGCUCCGAGCUUGCCAGCGAAGCCAGCCAACGUGUCGCCGUCCGCCAUGCGCAAGAGCUCAAACUCCCCUCGGAGCGUGCCCAGUCGCGCCGUCCGCGCGCGAUCCGCGCCGAUGAACAUGGCCUUGAGGCUCGCCCAUACCUACGCCGCCGUCUUCUUCGACGACAACUGCAGCAGUAG
Molecule: ribosomal RNA, 726 nt
Filed under: Triticum aestivum (bread wheat)
Lineage: Eukaryota; Viridiplantae; Streptophyta; Magnoliopsida; Poales; Poaceae
Description: partial small subunit ribosomal RNA
Source: RNAcentral